RNAcentral lists this ribosomal RNA (515 nucleotides) under uncultured bacterium. Its description in RNAcentral is "partial 16S ribosomal RNA". It matches the Rfam family "Bacterial small subunit ribosomal RNA", at positions 28 to 523 of the family's 1533-position model. The record is from RNAcentral.
GACGAACGCUGGCGGCGUGCCUAAUACAUGCAAGUCGAGCGGACUUUCAAGAAGCUUGCUUUUUGAAAGUUAGCGGCGGACGGGUGAGUAACACGUGGGCAACCUGCCUGUAAGACGGGGAUAACUCCGGGAAACCGGGGCUAAUACCGGAUAAUAUCUUUCUUCGCAUGAAGGAAGGUUGAAAGGCGGCGCAAGCUGCCGCUUGCAGAUGGGCCCGCGGCGCAUUAGCUAGUUGGUGAGGUAACGGCUCACCAAGGCGACGAUGCGUAGCCGACCUGGGCGGGUGAUCGGCCACACUGGGACUGAGACACGGCCCAGACUCCUACGGGAGGCGGCAGUAGGGAAUCUUCCGCAAUGGACGAAAGUCUGACGGAGCAACGCCGCGUGAGCGAAGAAGGUCUUCGGAUCGUAAAGCUCUGUUGUCAGGGAAGAACAAGUACCGUUCGAAUAGGGCGGUACCUUGACGGUACCUGACCAGAAAGCCACGGCUAACUACGUGCCAGCAGCCGCCGUAA